Small nucleolar RNA from Acomys russatus (golden spiny mouse), 119 nucleotides. RefSeq annotates it as small nucleolar RNA SNORA11. The transcript has a single exon. The record is from RefSeq and is a predicted model, not a curated record. NCBI's taxonomy places the organism in Eukaryota, Metazoa, Chordata, Mammalia, Rodentia, Muridae.
UGGGUGUGCUCAGGGUGGGGGCCUGGAGAGUGGAUUCUUUGUUUAUACUCAAGAAGACUGUGGGACCAUCGUAAUGAGGGGCACAGCACUGUGUCCUCUCUGAGCAGUUCCCGCCACGU